RNAcentral lists this ribosomal RNA (802 nucleotides) under uncultured Gammaproteobacteria bacterium. RNAcentral's name for it is "bacterial SSU rRNA". It matches the Rfam family "Bacterial small subunit ribosomal RNA", at positions 1 to 796 of the family's 1533-position model. Lineage: Bacteria; Pseudomonadati; Pseudomonadota; Gammaproteobacteria. The record is from RNAcentral.
GGAUUAGUUUGAUCCUGGCUCAGAUUGAACGCUGGCGGCAGGCCUAACACAUGCAAGUCGAGCGGCAGCACAAGGGAGUUUACUUCUGAGGUGGCGAGCGGCGCACGGGUGAGUAAUGCCUAGGGAUCUGCCGAGUCGAGGGGGAUAACAGUUGGAAACGACUGCUAAUACCGCAUACGCCCUACGGGGGAAAGAGGGGGACCUUCGGGCCUCUCGCGAUUGGAUGAACCUAGGUGGGAUUAGCUAGUUGGUGAGGUAAUGGCUCACCAAGGCGACGAUCCCUAGCUGUUCUGAGAGGAUGAUCAGCCACACUGGGACUGAUACACGGCCCAGACUCCUACGGGAGGCAGCAGUGGGGAAUAUUGCACAAUGGGGGAAACCCUGAUGCAGCCAUGCCGCGUGUGUGAAGAAGGCCUUCGGGUUGUAAAGCACUUUCAGUAGGGAGGAAAGGGUGAGUCUUAAUACGGCUCAUCUGUGACGUUACCUACAGAAGAAGGACCGGCUAACUCCGUGCCAGCAGCCGCGGUAAUACGUAGGGUGCGAGCGUUAAUCGGAAUUACUGGGCGUAAAGCGUGCGCAGGCGGUUUUUUAAGAUAGGCGUGAAAUCCCCGGGCUUAACCUGGGAACUGCGCUUAUGACUGGAAGACUAGAGUACGGCAGAGGGGGGUGGAAUUCCACGUGUAGCAGUGAAAUGCGUAGAGAUGUGGAGGAACACCGAUGGCGAAGGCAGCCCCCUGGGCCGAUACCGACGCUCAUGCACGAAAGCGUGGGGAGCAAACAGGAUUAGAUACCCUGGUAGUCC